RNAcentral lists this non-coding RNA (45 nucleotides) under Schistosoma mattheei. The record is from RNAcentral. Lineage: Eukaryota; Metazoa; Platyhelminthes; Trematoda; Strigeidida; Schistosomatidae.
AUCCAGUUGACGAGUUCCAAAUGUGGUGAAACGCGCGUCCUGGAU